RNAcentral lists this transfer RNA (63 nucleotides) under Phrixothrix hirtus. Its description in RNAcentral is "tRNA-Phe". The record is from RNAcentral. Lineage: Eukaryota; Metazoa; Arthropoda; Insecta; Coleoptera; Phengodidae.
ACUUUAAUAGCUUAUAAAGAGUAUAAUAUUGAAAAUAUUAUGGAGAAAGUUUUUCUUAAAGUA